ACUGCUCAGUAACACGUGGACAACCUGCCCUUAGGUUGGGUAUAAACCCGGGAAACUGGGUAUAAUACCCGAUAGGUCUCGAUUGCUGGAAUGCAUCGAGAUUUAAAGCUCCGGCGCCUAAGGAUGGGUCUGCGGCCUAUCAGGUAGUAGUGGGUGUAGCGUACCUACUAGCCUACGACGGGUACGGGUUGUGAGAGCAAGAGCCCGGAGAUGGAUUCUGAGACACGAAUCCAGGCCCUACGGGGUGCAGCAGGCGCGAAAACUUUACAAUGCUGGCAACAGCGAUAAGGGAACCUCGAGUGCCAGGUUACAAAUCUGGCUGUCGAGAUGCCUAAAAAGCAUUUCAUAGCAAGGGCCGGGCAAGACCGGUGCCAGCCGCCGCGGUAACACCGGCGGCUCGAGUGGUAACCGUUAUUAUUGGGUCUAAAGGGUCUGUAGCCGGCCGGAUAAGCCUCUUGAGAAAUCUGGCAGCUUAACUGUCAGGCUUUCAGGAGAUACUGUCUGGCUCGAGGCCGGGAGAGGUGAGAGGUACUUCAGGGGUAGGGGUGAAAUCUUGUAAUCCUUGAAGGACCACCAGUGGCGAAGGCGUCUCACCAGAACGGACCUGACGGCAAGGGACGAAAGCUAGGGGCACGAACCGGAUUAGAUACCCGGGUAGUCCUAGCCGUAAACGAUACUCGCUAGGUGUCGGCCACGGUGCGACCGUUGUCGGUGCCGUAGGGAAGCCGUGAAGCGAGCCACCUGGGAAGUACGGCCGCAAGGCUGAAACUUAAAGGAAUUGGCGGGGGAGCAC
RNAcentral lists this ribosomal RNA (793 nucleotides) under uncultured archaeon. RNAcentral describes it as "bacterial SSU rRNA". It matches the Rfam family "Archaeal small subunit ribosomal RNA", at positions 85 to 879 of the family's 1478-position model. The record is from RNAcentral.